This 401-nucleotide long non-coding RNA is filed under the name Carica papaya (papaya). Its description in RNAcentral is "long non-coding RNA (CPAP_LNC002233)". The record is from RNAcentral. Lineage: Eukaryota; Viridiplantae; Streptophyta; Magnoliopsida; Brassicales; Caricaceae.
GAAUAGGUUAGUGGUUUUGUGAUCAUCGGUGGUUUGACCAAAGGCCACCUCCUGCCCUGCGGCGUCCAAGGCGUAAGCGCGUACGAAGAACGUGGCGAAGGGCACGUCGCGCUCGAUCGUCCACUCGAAUGUUUGGAGCUUCUUAAUGUAAGGCCUCUCCACGAUCUUGAACUGGCAUGUUCUGUCUUUAGACAACUCCUCCUCUGUCUUCCUCCAUGGCCGAUCCACUUGGCUGAUUGGCGCGUAGCAUAACUUCACCUCCACUUUCUUGUAGGUCGAGUCAACCCCUGCUGGCGCGCUCUGGUUUAGUCCCCACGUCACUGUCAUCUUCUCACCAACUUUCAGGACUGCAAAAAAUAUACAAAUUAAAUUAAGCACCACAUAGAUAUAUAUACAAACCC